CCGAACAACCACGUAUAUAUACUAAGCUGUCAUCUUAUGCCUGGUGUUGCUAUCAGCUUAACCAAUCAAGCUCAACAUGUCUGCUAGCCACAAGACCAUUUUCAUGAGGAUACUUCUCAUCUCUUGCAUUCUGCUCCCCCUUGGGUUUCUAUCUCUUGCACCACCUCUACCGGCAGCUAGCUCGAGGAGCGCACGAACGUCUGGAUACAUUGUUAUCAGUGGUUGCAACAAUUACUGCAGCGUGGCCUGCUGCUACUGCAACAUCCGCAGGUUUCCACCUGUUUGUGAAAAGUGCUGUGAGUAAUACGAAGUCUUCACUUCCUCCAUCUUGGGAACAAGGCAGGAGAUACUUCCGGUGUGCUGUCUCGGCAUGAUUUUGUAGUAAAUACAUCAGAAAGUCUGAGUUUCAACUACAUGGAAACGCCUGAAAACCCUUAAGUUUCAGUUGUGCUGUAUAUUACUUUUCCGAUAACACAUUAUGUUUGUUACUUUGAAGCAACAUGAUCUGAUUCUGGCAA
This is a long non-coding RNA of Triticum aestivum (bread wheat), 518 nucleotides long. RefSeq lists it as uncharacterized. The transcript is spliced from 2 exons. Lineage: Eukaryota; Viridiplantae; Streptophyta; Magnoliopsida; Poales; Poaceae. The record is from RefSeq and is a predicted model, not a curated record.